AGAGUUUGAUCCUGGCUCAGGACGAACGCUGGCGGCGUGCUUAACACAUGCAAGUCGAGCGGAAAGGCCCUUCGGGGUACUCGAGCGGCGAACGGGUGAGUAACACGUGAGUAACCUGCCCUUGGCUCUGGGAUAGCUCCGGGAAACCGGAAUUAAUGCCGGAUAGGACUUUGGCCGACAUCGGCUGGGGUGGAAAGAUUUAUCGGCCAGGGAUGGGCUCGCGGCCUAUCAGCUUGUUGGUGGGGUAACGGCCUACCAAGGCGACGACGGGUAGCCGGCCUGAGAGGGCGACCGGCCACACUGGGACUGAGACACGGCCCAGACUCCUACGGGAGGCAGCAGUGGGGAAUAUUGCGCAAUGGGCGGAAGCCUGACGCAGCGACGCCGCGUGGGGGAUGAAGGCCUUCGGGUUGUAAACCCCUUUCGGCAGGGACGAAGCGGAAGUGACGGUACCUGCAGAAGAAGCGCCGGCUAACUACGUGCCAGCAGCCGCGGUAACACGUAGGGCGCAAGCGUUGUCCGGAAUCAUUGGGCGUAAAGAGCUCGUAGGCGGUUUGUUACGUCUGCUGUGAAAUCUGGGGGCUUAACCCCCAGCGUGCAGUGGAUACGGGCAGACUAGAGGUAGGUAGGGGAGAAUGGAAUUCCCGGUGUAGCGGUGAAAUGCGCAGAUAUCGGGAGGAACACCGGUGGCGAAGGCGGUUCUCUGGGCCUUACCCGACGCUGAGGAGCGAAAGCGUGGGGAGCGAACAGGAUUAGAUACCCUAGUAGUCC
RNAcentral lists this ribosomal RNA (771 nucleotides) under uncultured bacterium. RNAcentral's name for it is "bacterial SSU rRNA". It matches the Rfam family "Bacterial small subunit ribosomal RNA", at positions 8 to 796 of the family's 1533-position model. The record is from RNAcentral.